GGGAAUGUGGCUUAGUGGUAGAGUGCUUGCCUAACAUGCAUGAAGCCCUGGGUUCGAUUCCUUAGUACCA
This 70-nucleotide transfer RNA is filed under the name Dipodomys ordii (Ord's kangaroo rat). It matches the Rfam family "tRNA". Rfam says of the family: Transfer RNA (tRNA) molecules are approximately 80 nucleotides in length. Their secondary structure includes four short double-helical elements and three loops (D, anti-codon, and T loops). Further hydrogen bonds mediate the characteristic L-shaped molecular structure. tRNAs have two regions of fundamental functional importance: the anti-codon, which is responsible for specific mRNA codon recognition, and the 3' end, to which the tRNAs corresponding amino acid is attached (by aminoacyl-tRNA synthetases). tRNAs cope with the degeneracy of the genetic code in two manners: having more than one tRNA (with a specific anti-codon) for a particular amino acid; and 'wobble' base-pairing, i.e. permitting non-standard base-pairing at the 3rd anti-codon position. The record is from Rfam by way of RNAcentral. Lineage: Eukaryota; Metazoa; Chordata; Mammalia; Rodentia; Heteromyidae.